RNAcentral lists this ribosomal RNA (87 nucleotides) under Castor canadensis (American beaver). The record is from RNAcentral. Lineage: Eukaryota; Metazoa; Chordata; Mammalia; Rodentia; Castoridae.
GUCUACGGCCAAACCACCCUGAAUGUACCCGAUUUUAUCCGAUCUCUGAAGCUGAGCAGGGUGGGGCCUAGUUAGUACUUGGAGACA